GAGCUCAUGUUGGAGAAGAGGAGCACAUGCAAAGCACAUGAAACAGAAAUUGUGUUUGUUGGUUUGCACGUGCCCUGCUUCUCCAACGUGAAGAU
This 95-nucleotide microRNA precursor is filed under the name Arabis alpina (gray rockcress). Its description in RNAcentral is "miRNA ENSRNAG00050205547". Lineage: Eukaryota; Viridiplantae; Streptophyta; Magnoliopsida; Brassicales; Brassicaceae. The record is from RNAcentral.